GACGAACUUUGGCGGCGUGCUUAACACAUGCAAGUCGAACGGAAAGGCCCUGCUUUUGUGGGGUGCUCGAGUGGCGAACGGGUGAGUAACACGUGAGUAACCUGCCCUUGACUUUGGGAUAACUUCAGGAAACUGGGGCUAAUACCGGAUAGGAGCUCCUGCUGCAUGGUGGGGGUUGGAAAGUUUCGGCGGUUGGGGAUGGACUCGCGGCUUAUCAGCUUGUUGGUGGGGUAGUGGCUUACCAAGGCUUUGACGGGUAGCCGGCCUGAGAGGGUGACCGGCCACAUUGGGACUGAGAUACGGCCCAGACUCCUACGGGAGGCAGCAGUGGGGAAUAUUGCACAAUGGGCGGAAGCCUGAUGCAGCAACGCCGCGUGCGGGAUGACGGCCUUCGGGUUGUAAACCGCUUUCGCCUGUGACGAAGCGUGAGUGACGGUAAUGGGUAAAGAAGCACCGGCUAACUACGUGCCAGCAGCCGCGGUGAUACGUAGGGUGCGAGCGUUGUCCGGAUUUAUUGGGCGUAAAGGGCUCGUAGGUGGUUGAUCGCGUCGGAAGUGUAAUCUUGGGGCUUAACCCUGAGCGUGCUUUCGAUACGGGUUGACUUGAGGAAGGUAGGGGAGAAUGGAAUUCCUGGUGGAGCGGUGGAAUGCGCAGAUAUCAGGAGGAACACCAGUGGCGAAGGCGGUUCUCUGGGCCUUUCCUGACGCUGAGGAGCGAAAGCGUGGGGAGCGAACAGGCUUAGAUACCCUGUAGUCCACGCUGUAAACGGCGGGUACUAGGUGUGGGGUCCAUUCCACGGGUUCCGUGCCGUAGCUAACGCUUUAAGUACCCCGCCUGGGGAGUACGGCCGCAAGGCUAAAACUCAAAGGAAUUGACGGGGCCCCGCACAAGCGGCGGAGCAUGCGGAUUAAUUCGAUGCAACGCGUAGAACCUUACCUGGGUUUGACAUGGAUCGGGAGUGCUCAGAGAUGGGUGUGCCUCUUUUGGGGUCGGUUCACAGGUGGUGCAUGGCUGUCGUCAGCUCGUGUCGUGAGAUGUUGGGUUAAGUCCCGCAACGAGCGCAACCCUUGUUCACUGUUGCCAGCACGUUAUGGUGGGGACUCAGUGGAGACCGCCGGGGUCAACUCGGAGGAAGGUGGGGAUGACGUCAAGUCAUCAUGCCCCUUAUGUCCAGGGCUUCACGCAUGCUACAAUGGCUGGUACAGAGAGUGGCGAGCCUGUGAGGGUGAGCGAAUCUCGGAAAGCCGGUCUCAGUUCGGAUUGGGGUCUGCAACUCGACCUCAUGAAGUCGGAGUCGCUAGUAAUCGCAGAUCAGCAACGCUGCGGUGAAUACGUUCCCGGGGCUU
This 1346-nucleotide ribosomal RNA is filed under the name uncultured bacterium. RNAcentral's name for it is "partial 16S ribosomal RNA". It matches the Rfam family "Bacterial small subunit ribosomal RNA", at positions 28 to 1382 of the family's 1533-position model. The record is from RNAcentral.